RNAcentral lists this signal recognition particle RNA (97 nucleotides) under Alphaproteobacteria bacterium. Its description in RNAcentral is "signal recognition particle sRNA small type". It matches the Rfam family "Bacterial small signal recognition particle RNA". From Rfam's summary of the family: The signal recognition particle (SRP) is a universally conserved ribonucleoprotein involved in the co-translational targeting of proteins to membranes. Archaeal SRP consists of a 7S RNA and homologues of the eukaryotic SRP19 and SRP54 proteins. Lineage: Bacteria; Pseudomonadati; Pseudomonadota; Alphaproteobacteria. The record is from RNAcentral.
GGAAGAUCGGCGCGGGCGAAAUCUCGCUGGACUCGGUCAGGUCAGAAAUGAAGCAGCCGCAGGUGAAUUUUUUCGGGUCGCUGUCCGGUCUUCCACU